UCUUCUCAACCCUUCCGUCUUCUUCACCGGAGACUGUCGGGCUUGGAUGUGGAGGUCUUGCAGGCAUCUGGAUCUUUUGAUUCAGAAGUCGGCUCCUCUGAAAUGCAUUAGCUUGAAUAGUACCAAGCAUGAUUCAGCGUGAUAAUUGUCUACGUUGCUUCAUCUCGGUGAAUUAAAUGUUCAAGCUUCUAACCGUCCCUCGGGACAAUCUCUGAAC
Molecule: unclassified non-coding RNA, 217 nt
Filed under: uncultured Steccherinum
Lineage: Eukaryota; Fungi; Basidiomycota; Agaricomycetes; Polyporales; Steccherinaceae
Description: sequence contains ITS2
Source: RNAcentral